Non-coding RNA from Pelobates cultripes (western spadefoot toad), 377 nucleotides. The record is from the annotation of a GenBank genome assembly. NCBI's taxonomy places the organism in Eukaryota, Metazoa, Chordata, Amphibia, Anura, Pelobatidae.
GUUGCACUUACAAAUGCUCCAAUGGUUUAGAUAAGGUAUUGAUGAAUCCAACCAAAACCACAGCGCAGAUUUGCAGGAAAGACAAGGAAGAUUUUCUCUACACUUGUAGUGGGUAGUGGGAUAACAGUGGAUUCUGUUGGGACUGAGGCACCAUAGCAUGUACACCAUUUCAUCACAUUCAACAAGAUGGCUUCCUCAAGGUCAUACUAUCCAAGACAAGGAUGUUGAGCAUUGACCUCCAAGGUGUUGCUGAAACGCAAUCCUUUUAAGUCUCUGCAAGGCUGCCUGUGAAUAUCCAUUAUUUCUGUACAUUGUGGUACAGCAUUAACUGCAGACAGCCUGCCACUUGGUUAUAGUAUAUGUACUAAGCAUAAAAG